UUUUGGACAAUGGGGGCAACCCUGAUCCAGCCAUCCCGCGUGUGCGAUGAAGGCCUUCNGGUUGUNANGCACUUUUGGCAGGGAANCCAAGGCUCUGGCUAAUACCUGGAGCUGCUGACGGUACCUGCAGAAUAAGCACCGGCUAACUACGUGCCAGUAGCCGCGGUAAUACGUAGGGUGCAAGCGUUAAUCGGAAUUACUGGGCGUAAAGCGUGCGCAGGCGGUUCGGCAAGAAGGAUGUGAAAUCCCAGGGCUUAACCUUGGAACUGCAUGCUUAACUGCGGGGCUAGGGUAUGUCAGAGGGGGGUAGAAUUCCGCGUGUAGCAGUGAAAUGCGUAGAGAUGCGGAGGAAUACCGAUGGCGAAGGCAGCCCCCUGGGAUAAUACUGACGCUCAUGCACGAAAGCGUGGGGAGCAAAC
RNAcentral lists this ribosomal RNA (419 nucleotides) under uncultured bacterium. Its description in RNAcentral is "partial 16S ribosomal RNA". It matches the Rfam family "Bacterial small subunit ribosomal RNA", at positions 362 to 773 of the family's 1533-position model. The record is from RNAcentral.